GCUGGGCAUGGUGGCGUGUGCCUGUAAUCCCAGCUACUCAGGAGGCUGAGGCAGGGGAAUUGCUUGAACCCAGGAGGCGGAGGUUGCAGUGAGCUAAGAUCGUGCAACUGCACUCCAGCCUGGGCGACAGAGCAAGACUCCGUCUCAA
Molecule: unclassified non-coding RNA, 148 nt
Organism: Macaca fascicularis (crab-eating macaque)
Lineage: Eukaryota; Metazoa; Chordata; Mammalia; Primates; Cercopithecidae
Rfam family: Metazoan signal recognition particle RNA
About the family: The signal recognition particle (SRP) is a universally conserved ribonucleoprotein.
Source: Ensembl